AUAAUACUCCAUAGAUUAGAGACACUGGAAUGUUCUUUAGUCGAAAGUUCUGGCGCCUUAGGAUGGAUCUGCGGUCGAUUAGGUUGUUGGGGUAACGGCCCAACAAGCCUGUAAUCGAUACGGGUUGUGGGAGCAAGAGCCCGGAGAUGGAAUCUGAGACACGAUUCCAGGCCCUACGGGGCGCAGCAGGCGCGAAAACUUUACAAUGCAGGAAACUGUGAUAAGGGAACUCCGAGUGCCCGUAUACGCGGGCUGUCCAGGUGUUUAAAAAUCAUCUGAAGAAAGGGCCGGGCAAGACCGGUGCCAGCCGCCGCGGUAAUACCGGCGGCUCGAGUGGUGGCCACUAUUAUUGGGCUUAAAGCGUCCGUAGCUGGACCGAUAAGUCUCUUGGGAAAUCCGCCGGCUCAACCGGCGGGCGUCUAAGGGAUACUGUUAGUCUAGGGACCGGGAGAGGUGAGAGGUACUCCGGGGGUAGGAGUGGAAUCCUGUAAUCCCCGGGGGACCACCGAUGGCGAAGGCAUCUCACCAGAACGGCUCCGACAGUGAGGGACGAAAGCUGGGGGAGCGAACCGGAUUAGAUACCCGGGUAGUCCCAGCCGUAAACUAUGCGCGCUAGGUGU
Molecule: ribosomal RNA, 620 nt
Filed under: uncultured archaeon
Lineage: Archaea
Description: bacterial SSU rRNA
Rfam family: Archaeal small subunit ribosomal RNA
Source: RNAcentral